This 253-nucleotide ribosomal RNA is filed under the name uncultured bacterium. RNAcentral's name for it is "partial 16S ribosomal RNA". It matches the Rfam family "Bacterial small subunit ribosomal RNA", at positions 524 to 776 of the family's 1533-position model. The record is from RNAcentral.
UACGGAGGGGGCUAGCGUUGUUCGGAAUUACUGGGCGUAAAGCGCACGUAGGCGGCUUUGUAAGUUGGAGGUGAAAGCCCGGGGCUCAACUCCGGAAUUGCCUUUAAGACUGCAUCGCUAGAAUCUUGGAGAGGCGAGUGGAAUUCCGAGUGUAGAGGUGAAAUUCGUAGAUAUUCGGAAGAACACCAGUGGCGAAGGCGACUCGCUGGACAAGUAUUGACGCUGAGGUGCGAAAGCGUGGGGAGCAAACAGG